RNAcentral lists this ribosomal RNA (468 nucleotides) under uncultured bacterium. RNAcentral describes it as "partial 16S ribosomal RNA". It matches the Rfam family "Bacterial small subunit ribosomal RNA", at positions 28 to 507 of the family's 1533-position model. The record is from RNAcentral.
GACGAACGCUGGCGGCGUGCUUAACACAUGCAAGUCGAACGGAAAGGCCCUGCUUUUGUGGGGUGCUCGAGUGGCGAACGGGUGAGUAACACGUGAGUAACCUGCCCUUGACUUUGGGAUAACUUCAGGAAACUGGGGCUAAUACCGGAUAGGAGCUCCUGCUGCAUGGUGGGGGUUGGAAAGUUUCGGCGGUUGGGGAUGGACUCGCGGCUUAUGAGCUUGUUGGUGGGGUAGUGGCUUACCAAGGCUUUGACGGGUAGCCGGCCUGAGAGGGUGACCGGCCACAUUGGGACUGAGGUACGGCCCAGACGCCUACGGGAGGCAGCAGGGGGGAAUAUGGCACAAUGGGGGGAAGCCUGAGGCAGCAACGCCGCGUGCGUGAUGACGGCCUUCGGGUUGAAAACCGCUUUCGCCUGUGACGAAGCGUGAGUGACGGUAAUGGGUAAAGAAGCACCGGCUAACUACGUG